This 332-nucleotide ribosomal RNA is filed under the name uncultured eukaryote. RNAcentral's name for it is "partial 18S ribosomal RNA". It matches the Rfam family "Eukaryotic small subunit ribosomal RNA", at positions 1470 to 1796 of the family's 1831-position model. The record is from RNAcentral.
CCCUUAGAUGUUCUGGGCUGCACACGUGCUACACUGGCAGGUUCAGCGAGCUUCAUGCCCGGAUCUGAAAGGAAUGGGAAAUCUUUUCAAAACUUGCCGUGCUUGGGAUAGAUGUUUGCAAUUAUUCAUCUUCAACGAGGAUUGCCUUGUAAGCGCACGUCAUCAGCGUGCAUUGAAUACGACCCUGUAUUCUGUACACACCGCCCGUCGCUCCUACCGAUUGAAGUUUUCGGUGAGUUGACAGGAGGAUUUUUUUGAAACUGGUUCGCCAGUGGAUUUUAGAUCCAAAUGCCAACGAAUCGAUGGCUUUAGAGGAAGGAGAAGUCGUAACA